RNAcentral lists this ribosomal RNA (569 nucleotides) under uncultured Gammaproteobacteria bacterium. Its description in RNAcentral is "bacterial SSU rRNA". It matches the Rfam family "Bacterial small subunit ribosomal RNA", at positions 812 to 1381 of the family's 1533-position model. The record is from RNAcentral. Lineage: Bacteria; Pseudomonadati; Pseudomonadota; Gammaproteobacteria.
UCGAUUUGGAGUUUGUUGCCCUGAGUGAUGGGCUCCGAAGCUAACGCGAUAAAUCGACCGCCUGGGGAGUACGGCCGCAAGGUUAAAACUCAAAUGAAUUGACGGGGGCCCGCACAAGCGGUGGAGCAUGUGGUUUAAUUCGAUGCAACGCGAAGAACCUUACCUGGUCUUGACAUCCACAGAAUCUUGCAGAGAUGCGAAAGUGCCUUCGGGAACUGUGAGACAGGUGCUGCAUGGCUGUCGUCAGCUCGUGUUGUGAAAUGUUGGGUUAAGUCCCGCAACGAGCGCAACCCUUAUCCUUUGUUGCCAGCGGUUUGGCCGGGAACUCAAAGGAGACUGCCGUUGAUAAAGCGGAGGAAGGUGGGGACGACGUCAAGUCAUCAUGGCCCUUACGACCAGGGCUACACACGUGCUACAAUGGCGUAUACAAAGGGAGGCGACCUCGCGAGAGCAAGCGGACCUCAUAAAGUACGUCUAAGUCCGGAUUGGAGUCUGCAACUCGACUCCAUGAAGUCGGAAUCGCUAGUAAUCGUGAAUCAGAAUGUCACGGUGAAUACGUUCCCGGGCCU